GACGAACCGUGCAAACGUUGUUCGGAAUCACUGGGCUUAAAGGGCGCGUAGGCGGGUGAUCAAGUCAGGGGUGAAAUCUUUCGGCUUAACCGGAAAACUGCCUUUGAUACUGGUCGUCUCGAGUGAGGUAGGGGCAUGUGGAACUUCCGGUGGAGCGGUGAAAUGCGUUGAUAUCGGAAGGAACGCCGGUGGCGAAAGCGACGUGCUGGACCUCUUCUGACGCUGAUGCGCGAAAGCUAGGGGAGCGAACGGG
This 253-nucleotide ribosomal RNA is filed under the name uncultured bacterium. RNAcentral describes it as "partial 16S ribosomal RNA". It matches the Rfam family "Bacterial small subunit ribosomal RNA", at positions 524 to 776 of the family's 1533-position model. The record is from RNAcentral.